This 177-nucleotide ribosomal RNA is filed under the name uncultured bacterium. Its description in RNAcentral is "partial 16S ribosomal RNA". It matches the Rfam family "Bacterial small subunit ribosomal RNA", at positions 355 to 524 of the family's 1533-position model. The record is from RNAcentral.
UGGGGAAUAUUGCACAAUGGGCGAAAGCCUGGUGCAGCGACGCCGCGUGGAGGAUGACGGUCUUCGGAUUGUAAACUCCUGUUAAGUGGGAAGAAAGACUCAUAAGUAAUAUGUAUGAGGGAUGACGGUACCACUAGAGAAAGCUCCGGCUAACUUCGUGCCAGCAGCCGCGGUAAU